UUCAGAAACAAAGCAAGCUUGUUUGACCCUGGCAAACACUGUACUACUUUAUAUACUUUCAGAAAUUGAUACAUUGUCUCAUCUAGAGACAUACUGACCAAUGGUAGAGUCCUGUUUCUUCCGACGUACGUUUACGUCGUGUAUAGAAAGGUCCCUAUAGAAACGUGUGUGGGUAAAGUAAACUGUCACUUUUUUUUUUUUUACCCUUAGGUUUUCUUUUACGCAUGCUACCGAAUACCGAUAAGGUGACACGCCGUCCUAUUCCGUUAUUAUUCUUUUUUAAAUCCCCGUUAUAUGUAACAGUUUGACAUUUGAAUAUCUGUUCUGUAAAAAUCUCAAGUUUGGCGAAAUAACUGGAUUUUCAAUUCGUUGCCAGUUAUUGUAUUUGAUAGAAUAUCUGUCAAGUUGUGAUUCACAGUAGAAGUGACUGGGUUUGGGUAGUCAUGUCCGCAGAAAUGGACAAAGCAACUGAUGCAAGCGGGGGCGAUGAAGAAGAAUGGUUAUAUGGAGAUGAGAGUGAGGAGAAGGCAGAGGAAGAGGCACCUAAUAGGUAAGUGACAGGUAAAACACCAACUGUUAAACUGUCUGUUUUACAUAGCAGACCUGGCUGUCUGUCCUAUUCUGUCCUCAAUUUACCACUUGCCUAGAUCUCAAAUAUGUACUGAGCAUUCCUGCAAACCAGACUACACUGUCAAAUGGUUCCUUUUGUAAAAUACGUAUGCCCACAUAAAUUAGGUUUGUAUAUUCUUGGAGCAUAAUACAAAUGUUGGACACACAUGAUUUAUUUAUACCCAUCUUACGCACUUUUUUGUGGCACUUACACAAAUGACACCUGUUCAGCUUUCUACACAAAUAUACUAGUCACGUGUCUAUGUUAUGCUUUUUGAGAUUCACAACGUAUAGCCACACUACUCACUCUUAGUCAGUUUGUCCUGGUUCUGCAAAUCUGUUUUAUUACAUUGUCCAGCAUCAUCUCACCUGUUUGCACUAAUGAUUCUUGUGUUCAAACCAUUUUGAUCGUGAGUGAUAAUUUACAACAGUAAGCAGUGAACUGAUUUGAAAUAAGAGGGGCUAGCAGCAGCUUCAUGCCCCAUUAGGACCAAUUUUGCUUUAUUAAUGAAGCGUUCAGAUUGAAUGCACUUUUCACUGCUCAAUAAUGACUGAGUGAUAUCAUAAUCGUUGUCUCUGGGU
Molecule: long non-coding RNA, 1191 nt
Filed under: Oncorhynchus mykiss (rainbow trout)
Lineage: Eukaryota; Metazoa; Chordata; Actinopteri; Salmoniformes; Salmonidae
Description: lncRNA (ENSOMYG00000076322.1)
Source: RNAcentral